CACCCCUCAAGCAUAGCUUGGUAUUGGGCUCUCGCCCCCGCGGCGUGCCCGAAAAGCAGUGGCGGUCCGGUGUGACUUUAAGCGUAGUAAAUUUCUCCCGCUUUGAAAGUUCGCCCCGUGCCCUGCCAGACAACCCCAUAUUCUUCAAUAA
RNAcentral lists this unclassified non-coding RNA (151 nucleotides) under Parmelia sulcata. RNAcentral's name for it is "partial internal trancribed spacer 2". The record is from RNAcentral. Lineage: Eukaryota; Fungi; Ascomycota; Lecanoromycetes; Lecanorales; Parmeliaceae.